RNAcentral lists this ribosomal RNA (407 nucleotides) under uncultured organism. RNAcentral's name for it is "bacterial LSU rRNA". It matches the Rfam family "Bacterial large subunit ribosomal RNA", at positions 2078 to 2485 of the family's 2925-position model. The record is from RNAcentral.
GGACAGAAAGACCCUAUGAAGCUUUACUGUAACUUGAAAUUGAAAUUGGACUUUAUUUGCGCAGUAUAGGUGGGAGGCGUUGAGAAUAUUCUUGCGGGAAUAUUGGAGCCAUCAGUGAGAUACCACUCUUGUAAUGUUAGAUUUCUAACUUUGAAUCAUUAUCUGGUCAAAGAACAGUUUCAGGCGGGCAGUUUGACUGGGGCGGUCGCCUCCCAAACGGUAACGGAGGCGUACAAAGGUUUCCUCUGAACGGGUAGAAAUCGUAUCUAGAGUGUAAAGGCAUAAGGAAGCUUGACUGUGAGACCUACAAGUCGAGCAGGGACGAAAGUCGGUCUUAGUGAUCUGACGGUGCUGAGUGGAAAGGCCGUCACUCAACGGAAAAAGUUACUCUAGGGAUAACAGGCUGA